UAAUGUCUGGGAAACGUAGCCUGAUGGAGGGGGAGUAACUACUGGAAACGGUAGCUAAUACCGCAUAAUGUCGCAAGACCAAAGAGGGGGACCUUCGGGCCUCUUGCCAUCAGAUGUGCCCAGAUGGGAUUAGCUAGUAGGUGGGGUAACGGCUCACCUAGGCGACGAUCCCUAGCUGGUCUGAGAGGAUGACCAGCCACACUGGAACUGAGACACGGUCCAGACUCCUACGGGAGGCAGCAUG
This 244-nucleotide ribosomal RNA is filed under the name uncultured bacterium. RNAcentral's name for it is "partial 16S ribosomal RNA". It matches the Rfam family "Bacterial small subunit ribosomal RNA", at positions 111 to 353 of the family's 1533-position model. The record is from RNAcentral.